AUCAUGGAGAGUUUGAUCCUGGCUCAGGACGAACGCUGGCGGCGUGCCUAACACAUGCAAGUCGAACGGAGAGAUACGAGAGC
This 83-nucleotide ribosomal RNA is filed under the name Negativicoccus succinicivorans. Its description in RNAcentral is "partial 16S ribosomal RNA". It matches the Rfam family "Bacterial small subunit ribosomal RNA", at positions 1 to 83 of the family's 1533-position model. Lineage: Bacteria; Bacillati; Bacillota; Negativicutes; Veillonellales; Veillonellaceae. The record is from RNAcentral.